Long non-coding RNA from Empidonax traillii (willow flycatcher), 169 nucleotides. RefSeq lists it as uncharacterized. The record is from RefSeq and is a predicted model, not a curated record. Lineage: Eukaryota; Metazoa; Chordata; Aves; Passeriformes; Tyrannidae. The transcript has 3 exons.
CUGGGAGCCAUACAAAACUUUGAAGAAGACGACAAUAACAGUCGGGAGUCGCUGUCUCUGACUGAUAUCUAUGAUGAAGCUGCUGAAAGUCUGCAUCAGUUAGCUGAUAAACUGCCUGCCCCAGGCAGAGCAGUGGUUGAUGUAAUACUGCAGGCUGUUGAACGAGAUG